AGCAGCCGCGGUAAUUCCAGCUCCAAUAGCGUAUAUUAAAGUUGUUGCAGUUAAAAAGCUCGUAGUUGAAUUUCGAGACCGGUUUACUGGUCGUGCUUUUGUACGUACUGGUAUUAUUGGUUUCUCCUUUCUGACGAAUCAUAAUGCCAUUAAUUUGGUGUUUUGGGGAAUCAGGACUGUUACUUUGAAAAAAUUAGAGUGUUUAAAGCAGGCUCACGCUUGAAUACAUUAGCAUGGAAUAACGAAAUAGGACGUUUGAUUUUAUUUUGUUGGUUUCUAGGAUCGACGUAAUGAUUAAUAGGGAUAGUUGGGGGCAUUAGUAUUCAAUUGUCAGAGGUGAAAUUCUUGGAUUUAUUGAAGACUAACUACUGCGAAAGCAUUUGCCGAGGAUGUUUUCAUUAAUCAAGAACGAAAGUUAGGGGAUCGAAGACGAUCAGAUACCGUCGUAGUCUUAACCAUAAACUAUGCCGACUAGGGAUCGGAUGAUGUUAAUUUUUUAAUGACUCAUUCGGCGCCUUAC
RNAcentral lists this unclassified non-coding RNA (520 nucleotides) under uncultured Glomus. Its description in RNAcentral is "SSU rRNA". It matches the Rfam family "Eukaryotic small subunit ribosomal RNA", at positions 569 to 1091 of the family's 1831-position model. Lineage: Eukaryota; Fungi; Glomeromycota; Glomeromycetes; Glomerales; Glomeraceae. The record is from RNAcentral.